RNAcentral lists this transfer RNA (76 nucleotides) under Acidobacteriaceae bacterium. Its description in RNAcentral is "tRNA-Ile". It matches the Rfam family "tRNA". From Rfam's summary of the family: Transfer RNA (tRNA) molecules are approximately 80 nucleotides in length. The record is from RNAcentral. Lineage: Bacteria; Pseudomonadati; Acidobacteriota; Terriglobia; Terriglobales; Acidobacteriaceae. RNAcentral also lists the same sequence under 3 other names.
GGGCCCUUAGCUCAGCGGUCAGAGCAGAGGACUCAUAAUCCUUUGGUCGAAGGUUCAAAUCCUUCAGGGCCCACCA